This is a long non-coding RNA of Pantherophis guttatus, 360 nucleotides long. RefSeq lists it as uncharacterized. Lineage: Eukaryota; Metazoa; Chordata; Lepidosauria; Squamata; Colubridae. The record is from RefSeq and is a predicted model, not a curated record.
AAAAAUCUAGUUAUAUUGAGGAAAAGCCAUCUUUCCGCUGACCAAAGAAUCCAGAUAGGAAAACAAUUGAAAACUCAUUGUUGGUCCUUGUAUCAGCUUAUGCCCAUAAACAGUGGCGUUGUUCUUCUAAAAGAUCAUAGUCAUGCAUAUAAUUGCAGCGGUGCCAUAUUGCUUGCCCCCACUCCAGGGAUCAUACAGCUCCAACUUUUGUGGGAGAGACGGGUCGCCAAGGUGGAAUUGAAGUGAUAUGGUGGCUUGAUAAGACAAGCGCAUACUGUGACCAAGAUAGUCUUCAUUAUUUACACAGACAUUGCUACUUGCUGUACUUUUCACACAUCAAUAAACAAAUGUUCAAAUUUU